Molecule: long non-coding RNA, 933 nt
Filed under: Pan troglodytes (chimpanzee)
Lineage: Eukaryota; Metazoa; Chordata; Mammalia; Primates; Hominidae
Description: long non-coding RNA NONPTRT010219
Source: RNAcentral
CCCCACUGGUGUUCUGGGGCUGACAGAGAUUUGAAUUCUCCCAGGUAUGGAGUUCUUGGUUCUUGAAGUCCCGCCCAGUAAGGGUUCUCCUAACUGGGGCCUCCAGCCACCCCCACCUGUGUUCUCAUGCUGACAGAGAUUUGAACUCUUCCUGACAUGGAGGUCUCCACUUCCUGUCUGGUGUGGGUCUUUUCAAUUCAGGCCUCCAGCCACCCGCCCCUGGUGUUCUCAGACUGACAGAGAUUCGAAUUCUCCCUGGCAUAUAGUUCUUGAGGUCCUGCCCAAUGAGGAUCCUUUUAGCUGCAGUCUCCAGCCAACCCCACUGGUGUUCUGGGGCUGACAGAGGUUCGAGUUCUCGCUGGCAUGGCGGUCUUGGGGUCCUGCACAGUGAGGGACUUCCCAACUGGGGCCUGCAGCCAACCCCGUCAGUGUUCUGGGGCUGACAGAGAUUUGAAUUCUCCCUGGCAUGGAGGUCUUUAGGUUCUGCCAAGUGAGUGACCUCCCAGUUGGGCCUCCAGCCACCCCCACCGGUGUUCUUGGGCUGACAGAGAUUUGAAUUCUCCCUGGUAUGGAGGUCUCAGGGUCUGGCCCAGUGAAGGACUUCGGCCUCCAGCCACCCCUGCCAGUGUUUUGGGGCUGACAGAGAUUUGAAUUCUCCCUGGUAUGGAGGUCUUGAGGUCCUGCCCAGUGAGGGACCUCUCAACCGUGGCCUCCAGCCACCCACACCGGUGUUCUUGGGCUAACAGAGAUCUGAAUUCUCCCUGGCACAUAGUUCUCAAGGUCCCGCCCAGUGAGGGUCCUUUUAGCUGAGGUCUCCAGCCAAUCCCACUGGUGUUCUCAGGCUGACAAUCAUGUCAUCUGCAAACAGGGACUAUUUGACUUCCUCUUUUCCUAAUUGAAUACCCUUUAUUUCUUUCUCCUGCCUGAUUGCCC